CAGACUGAGUUUACUGUGAAGUUUUUCAACACUUUUUCUAUCUUGCACAUUUCCUGAAAGAGCUGAUAGAAAAUGUGUUUCCUGAAAAUGUAGUAAGUGAAAAAGAAUGGCUAAAACCCCCCCAUAAAAACUGCAAAACGAGCUCAGCUAUCCUGCAACUUCCUGUUUAGAGAUUCAGCUUCAAUAUUGAGUCAAGUUUUCCUAAUGUACCGAGAGUAUCAUACUAAAUUGAGGUCUCUGAAAUUUCAGGUAGGUGUCACAGAACAAAGCAUGACCUUUUGCUACUGAAGAGGCAAUACAUUUUGUAAACGAAACACAGAAUUUCUAUUCACUCUCUGACUUUUUACUGAAACCUUACAUCAAUUUCAAUACCCAUGAUGGUUUCACACCUCCACUGCUUGUAAAUUAUGUUAAAUGUCUAAAAUCACUAGAUCCGAUGAGAGUCUUCCUGGUUGGCACCUGCACUCAAGACUAGUCUUUACAGAUGAGAUUGGUAGCAACGUCUCUAUGUAUCUUGAAUAGAACAAACUGUCUUCGAUGAUACUGAGAGAUUGAGAACUAGUUGAACCUGAAACUUUUGUC
This is a non-coding RNA of Chelonoidis abingdonii (Abingdon island giant tortoise), 582 nucleotides long. The record is from RefSeq and is a predicted model, not a curated record. Lineage: Eukaryota; Metazoa; Chordata; Testudines; Testudinidae.